This is a non-coding RNA of Diplogelasinospora grovesii, 90 nucleotides long. Lineage: Eukaryota; Fungi; Ascomycota; Sordariomycetes; Sordariales; Diplogelasinosporaceae. The record is from the annotation of a GenBank genome assembly.
ACCCCGGUGGUGUAUCGGUUAACAUAUCCGAUUCUCAAAAGACAAGUGUCAUGAAUUCGGUUGCGCAGGGUUCGACUCCCUGUCGGGGUG